CACUGACCUUUCUCGCACAUUUUUCCAUUAGUGAGUUUGGUGUAGGCAGUGAUUCUAUCUGAUGUGGUCCAUCAGAUCCUUUACAUGAUGAUAAAGGUAAGAACCCGCUGGUUAUCUUUAGACUCAGGACGGAGGACACAAAUGAGCAACACUUCAUGAUCUGAGAAGACGACAUAAGGUUACCUGGGGAUGGGCGGCUCCUCCUCCAAAACACACUUAAUCUGGAAGAAGAAAAAGAAGUCGCCUCUGAACAAAGCCUGGCGUCAGCUGAAGGGGGUGCUACCCAAUAAGAAACGCAAGAAGAAGAUCCCUCGGGCACUGGAUAAACUGAACCUGGAUAACCUGAAGAAGAAAAAGCGUCCUCAGAGGAAAUUCUCUCUGCCGACGGAAAAAAGAGAGUUUACAUCAUCGAAAAGAGUCUCUCUUGUUAACAUGAGGAAGGAGUCGACAACGUCACUGGGGAGGAAGGAGGACAGGGGAGGGCUGGGGAAUGUAGGAGAGCAGAUAAAGAAGAGGUUGUCUCUCCCUGUGUGAAGGAAGAAAAUGAGAGACUCAAUGAAAUCAAAAGCAAAUUUAGAAAGAAAGAACCUUGAAUUUGGCAAAAGAUGAGACAAGCUGUCAGUGAUCAGGCCACAGGAGAGUCAGAGAGAUACAUGUAUUCAAAAUAUUUAAUGACGUAAAUGUCAGUUACUGAGGGCAGAUCAUCACGACUGAAAAUGACACAGAAAACUGAAACACAGCACUAUUCACAAUAUUAACAUAAAACUGUUGUUAUAUGUUCACCCUAAAGUUUCACAUCACUCACAUGUUCUGUUCACUCUGUCAUGUUCAACAAAAAGUUUCAACAAGGAAAUCGAAACAUUUCUGGAGAUUAAACAACAAUAAAUGAAAAGCUUGAUUUCCCUU
Epinephelus fuscoguttatus (brown-marbled grouper) is the source of this 906-nucleotide long non-coding RNA. RefSeq lists it as uncharacterized. Lineage: Eukaryota; Metazoa; Chordata; Actinopteri; Perciformes; Serranidae. The record is from RefSeq and is a predicted model, not a curated record. The transcript has 2 exons.